UUUCCUACGGGGGGCAGCAGUAGGGAAUAUUGCACAAUGGGGGGAACCCUGAUGCAGCGACGCCGCGUGGGUGAAGAAGCGCCUCGGCGCGUAAAGCCCUGUCAGCAGGGAAGAAAAUGACGGUACCUGAAGAAGAAGCCCCGGCUAACUACGUGCCAGCAGCCGCGGUAAUACGGAGGAUGCGAGCGUUAUCCGGAUUUAUUGGGUUUAAAGGGUGCGUAGGCGGGCUGUUAAGUCAGCGGUAAAAGCCCGGGGCUCAACCCCGGCGAGCCGUUGAAACUGGCUGUCUUGAGAUGUCGAGAGGU
RNAcentral lists this ribosomal RNA (305 nucleotides) under uncultured bacterium. RNAcentral's name for it is "bacterial SSU rRNA". It matches the Rfam family "Bacterial small subunit ribosomal RNA", at positions 335 to 658 of the family's 1533-position model. The record is from RNAcentral.